AGAGUUUGAUCCUGGCUCAGGACGAACGCUGGCGGCGUGCCUAAUACAUGCAAGUCGAGCGAGCUUGCCUAGAUGAUUUUAGUGCUUGCACUAAAUGAAACUAGAUACAAGCGAGCGGCGGACGGGUGAGUAACACGUGGGUAACCUGCCCAAGAGACUGGGAUAACACCUGGAAACAGAUGCUAAUACCGGAUAACAACACUAGACGCAUGUCUAGAGUUUGAAAGAUGGUUCUGCUAUCACUCUUGGAUGGACCUGCGGUGCAUUAGCUAGUUGGUAAGGUAACGGCUUACCAAGGCAAUGAUGCAUAGCCGAGUUGAGAGACUGAUCGGCCACAUUGGGACUGAGACACGGCCCAAACUCCUACGGGAGGCAGCAGUAGGGAAUCUUCCACAAUGGACGAAAGUCUGAUGGAGCAACGCCGCGUGAGUGAAGAAGGGUUUCGGCUCGUAAAGCUCUGUUGGUAGUGAAGAAAGAUAGAGGUAGUAACUGGCCUUUAUUUGACGGUAAUUACUUAGAAAGUCACGGCUAACUACGUGCCAGCAGCCGCGGUAAUACGUAGGUGGCAAGCGUUGUCCGGAUUUAUUGGGCGUAAAGCGAGUGCAGGCGGUUCAAUAAGUCUGAUGUGAAAGCCUUCGGCUCAACCGGAGAAUUGCAUCAGAAACUGUUGAACUUGAGUGCAGAAGAGGAGAGUGGAACUCCAUGUGUAGCGGUGGAAUGCGUAGAUAUAUGGAAGAACACCAGUGGCGAAGGCGGCUCUCUGGUCUGCAACUGACGCUGAGGCUCGAAAGCAUGGGUAGCGAACAGGAUUAGAUACCCUGGUAGUCCAUGCCGUAAACGAUGAGUGCUAAGUGUUGGGGAGGGUUCCCCCUCUCAUGCUGCACCUAAAGCAUU
RNAcentral lists this ribosomal RNA (894 nucleotides) under uncultured bacterium. RNAcentral describes it as "bacterial SSU rRNA". It matches the Rfam family "Bacterial small subunit ribosomal RNA", at positions 8 to 861 of the family's 1533-position model. The record is from RNAcentral.